AACCUAGCACACCUGCGGUGUGUACCUGCGGAGGGAUCAUUACCGAGUGUGGUCCCAUAUAAGGGGCGCCUCCCGUCCUUUGCAGGGCCUUUAGGGGCCUUUUGACUUUGCUUCGGCGGGCUUGCCCCGCCGGAACACCCUCAAGAAAAUCUUUAUGAACCGUUUGUCUGAGUUGCUUGCGAAUAAAAACAAAACUUUCAGCAAUGGAUCU
This 211-nucleotide unclassified non-coding RNA is filed under the name soil metagenome. Its description in RNAcentral is "partial contains 5.8S ribosomal RNA, internal transcribed spacer 2, and large subunit ribosomal RNA". The record is from RNAcentral.